This 31-nucleotide small RNA is filed under the name Bombyx mori (domestic silkworm). RNAcentral describes it as "ovarian small RNA-30030". The record is from RNAcentral. Lineage: Eukaryota; Metazoa; Arthropoda; Insecta; Lepidoptera; Bombycidae.
UCUGUCCAGGUCUCGUCUCCUGCACGGGGUA